This 522-nucleotide ribosomal RNA is filed under the name uncultured Campylobacter sp. RNAcentral's name for it is "bacterial SSU rRNA". It matches the Rfam family "Bacterial small subunit ribosomal RNA", at positions 603 to 1120 of the family's 1533-position model. The record is from RNAcentral. Lineage: Bacteria; Pseudomonadati; Campylobacterota; Epsilonproteobacteria; Campylobacterales; Campylobacteraceae.
UAUGGCUUAACCAUAGAACUGCUUGGGAAACUGAUAAUCUAGAGUGAGGGAGAGGCAGAUGGAAUUGGUGGUGUAGGGGUAAAAUCCGUAGAGAUCACCAGGAAUACCCAUUGCGAAGGCGAUCUGCUGGAACUCAACUGACGCUAAUGCGUGAAAGCGUGGGGAGCAAACAGGAUUAGAUACCCUGGUAGUCCACGCCCUAAACGAUGUAUACUAGUUGUUGCUAAGCUAGUCUUGGCAGUAAUGCACCUAACGGAUUAAGUAUACCGCCUGGGGAGUACGGUCGCAAGAUUAAAACUCAAAGGAAUAGACGGGGACCCGCACAAGCGGUGGAGCAUGUGGUUUAAUUCGAAGAUACGCGAAGAACCUUACCCGGACUUGAUAUCUAACAAAUCAUCUAGAGAUAGAAGAGUGUCUGCUUGCAGAAAUGUUAAGACAGGUGCUGCACGGCUGUCGUCAGCUCGUGUCGUGAGAUGUUGGGUUAAGUCCCGCAACGAGCGCAACCCACGUCAUUAGUUGCUA